GACGAACGCUGGCGGCGUGCCUAAUACAUGCAAGUCGAGCGCAGGAAACUGACGGAACUCUUCGGAGGGAAGGCAGUGGAAUGAGCGGCGGACGGGUGAGUAACACGUAAGGAACCUGCCUCAAGGAUUGGGAUAACUCCGAGAAAUCGGAGCUAAUACCGGAUAGUUCAUCGGACCGCAUGGUCCGUUGAUGAAAGGCGCUCCGGCGUCACCUUGAGAUGGCCUUGCGGUGCAUUAGCUAGUUGGUGGGGUAACGGCCCACCAAGGCGACGAUGCAUAGCCGACCUGAGAGGGGGAUCGGCCACACUGGGACUGGGACACGGCCCAGACUCCUACGGGAGGCAGCAGUAGGGAAGCUUCCACAAUGGACGAAAGUCUGAUGGAGCAACGCCGCGUGAGUGAUGAAGGUUUUCGGAUCGUAAAACUCUGUUGUAAGGGAAGAACACGUACGAGAGGGAAUGCUCGUACCUUGACGGUACCUUACGAGAAAGCCACGGCUAACUACGUGCCAGCAGCCGCCGCCG
This 524-nucleotide ribosomal RNA is filed under the name uncultured bacterium. RNAcentral's name for it is "partial 16S ribosomal RNA". It matches the Rfam family "Bacterial small subunit ribosomal RNA", at positions 28 to 523 of the family's 1533-position model. The record is from RNAcentral.